This 253-nucleotide ribosomal RNA is filed under the name uncultured bacterium. Its description in RNAcentral is "partial 16S ribosomal RNA". It matches the Rfam family "Bacterial small subunit ribosomal RNA", at positions 524 to 776 of the family's 1533-position model. The record is from RNAcentral.
GACAGAGGCCCCGAGCGUUAGUCGGAAUCACUGGGCUUAAAGGGUGCGUAGGCGGGCGUGUAAGUGUCUCGUGAAAGCCCCGGGCUCAACCCGGGAACCGCGGGGCAUACUGCACGCCUUGAGGAAACUAGAGGCCGGUAGAACGAUCGGUGGAGCGGUGGAAUGCGUAGAGAUCGAUCGGAACGCCAAGGGUGAAGACAGCCGGCUGGGGUUUUCCUGACGCUGAGGCACGAAAGCGUGGGGAUCAAACAGG